RNAcentral lists this long non-coding RNA (953 nucleotides) under Gossypium barbadense (sea-island cotton). Its description in RNAcentral is "long non-coding RNA (GBAR_LNC016689)". Lineage: Eukaryota; Viridiplantae; Streptophyta; Magnoliopsida; Malvales; Malvaceae. The record is from RNAcentral.
UCUCUUGAUUUACCUAAAUAAGUUUUCUUAUGUGUUUAUUAUUUGAAUGAUUAAAAUAGCAAUAUUUGUUAUAGCCCAAUUUUUUCCCAAGCUAAAAGCCCGGAAAUAAACAAAUAAGACUCAAAAUGUUAACAGUUCAUUUACAAACCCAAAAAAACAGACCCAAAAUAAAAUAAACCCAAAACCCAAUUAUGCCAGCCUAAUACAACCCUAGCCCACAAACAAAUUGUUGCAGCAAAAAAGGAGAAACCCUAGGGCGCCGUUGGUCGCCGCCUCUACCCAUGCGCGCCGUUCCAUCUCCUCGCACGCCAUCGUCACGCCUCUGACACCUGCAGAGAGGAGUAAAUGCAAAGCAACAGAGGAUUACAAAGAACUAAAGAGCAAAAAACAAAAAGAUGAAGAUAAAACGAGUGUAAUAUGGCUAUAAAAGCCAGAGGAUUCUCAUUGUAACUUUUUUUUUUACGAACACCCAUCAGUAAAUUGAAAAUCAGAAACUGAAGUUCCAAAAGGUUGUUCUUCUUUAAAAAACUGUUCUCUUCGUUCUCUUUUUCAUAGUUUUUAUUAUUUUUAUUUUAUUUCAAAUCUAUUUUAAAAUAAUUAAAAAAAUAAAAAGCGAAAAGGAAAGAAAUGCCUGAAUCGGCUCUUGGACCGGCCGGCGAUGGUCCUUUGCCGUCGUCGGAUUCGGGCUCGAGAGGGGGCCAAAUACCUUGUUUUCUCCUCGACUUCCCUUUUCAAAGUUCAGGCACUCUGAAUAUACCUCAAAUGCGUGUAUCGGGGAUUCCGUCGCACGACGCCGGCCACCGGCCAUGGAGGUGAUUAGGAGCGGCCGAGAAAAGGGGUUGAAAGGAUUUGGGAUCCUCAGUUUUUUUGAAAAAAGGGAAGAAAGAAAUGGGGGCUGAUUUCUCUUGUUUAGGGUUUUAUUUUUUCUAUUUAUAUAAGAUUCUAAACUGUGC